AGCGAACGCUGGCGGCAGGCUUAACACAUGCAAGUCGAGCGGGCAUCUUCGGAUGUCAGCGGCAGACGGGUGAGUAACACGUGGGAACGUACCCUUCGGUUCGGAACAACUCUGGGAAACUGGAGCUAAUACCGGAUACGCCCUUAUGGGGAAAGGUUUACUGCCGAAGGAUCGGCCCGCGUCUGAUUAGCUAGUUGGUGGGGUAACGGCCUACCAAGGCGACGAUCAGUAGCUGGUCUGAGAGGAUGAUCAGCCACACUGGGACUGAGACACGGCCCAGACUCCUACGGGAGGCAGCAGUGGGGAAUAUUGGACAAUGGGCGCAAGCCUGAUCCAGCCAUGCCGCGUGAGUGAUGAAGGCCUUAGGGUUGUAAAGCCCUUUUGUCCGGGACGAUAAUGACGGUACCGGAAGAAUAAGCCCCGGCUAACUUCGUG
This 435-nucleotide ribosomal RNA is filed under the name uncultured bacterium. RNAcentral's name for it is "partial 16S ribosomal RNA". It matches the Rfam family "Bacterial small subunit ribosomal RNA", at positions 29 to 507 of the family's 1533-position model. The record is from RNAcentral.